RNAcentral lists this long non-coding RNA (350 nucleotides) under Elaeis guineensis (African oil palm). Its description in RNAcentral is "long non-coding RNA (EGUI_LNC072262)". Lineage: Eukaryota; Viridiplantae; Streptophyta; Magnoliopsida; Arecales; Arecaceae. The record is from RNAcentral.
AACCGUUGGGGAGGACUCCUCGAUGAUAGCUCUUUCACAGUCGCAAAGAUUCUCUCUCGAUCUGAGCUAACCAGGGAUCUUCUCGAUUCCUCCUCUUGUCGGAGAUUUUCUUACCUUUCGCCUGCCUGCGGAGUUUUCGAGUUUCAUUCGCUUGAACAUACUUUCGAGCUUAGGUUAGCAGGUCUGCAUAAUCCUUUAGAAACUUCUUGUUAAAAGAAAAGAUAAGGCACUCAUUUCAUAGCCCUCAUUUGAGCCCUGACAUUACCACCAACUGGUUGAGGCUUUGCACCUUGAGCGUAGCAGUGUUAAAAUGUGCAAUGUAGUCACGCAGUGACUCAUCCUCUUCUUGU